UUAACGCGAAGGACCUUACCAAAUCUUGACAUCCUUUGAAAACUCUAGAGAUAGAGCCUUCCCCUUCGGGGGACAAAGUGACAGGUGGUGCAUGGUUGUCGUCAGCUCGUGUCGUGAGAUGUUGGGUUAAGUCCCGCAACGAGCGCAACCCUUAAGCUUAGUUGCCAUCAUUAAGUUGGGCACUCUAGGUUGACUGCCGGUGACAAACCGGAGGAAGGUGGGGAUGACGUCAAAUCAUCAUGCCCCUUAUGAUUUGGGCUACACACGUGCUACAAUGGACAAUACAAAGGGCAGCUAAACCGCGAGGUCAUGCAAAUCCCAUAAAGUUGUUCUCAGUUCGGAUUGUAGUCUGCAACUCGACUACAUGAAGCUGGAAUCGCUAGUAAUCGUAGAUCAGCAUGCUACGGUGAAUACGUUCCCGGGUCUUGUACACACCG
This 437-nucleotide ribosomal RNA is filed under the name uncultured Staphylococcus sp. RNAcentral describes it as "bacterial SSU rRNA". It matches the Rfam family "Bacterial small subunit ribosomal RNA", at positions 956 to 1392 of the family's 1533-position model. The record is from RNAcentral. Lineage: Bacteria; Bacillati; Bacillota; Bacilli; Caryophanales; Staphylococcaceae.